Long non-coding RNA from Sebastes umbrosus (honeycomb rockfish), 120 nucleotides. RefSeq lists it as uncharacterized. Lineage: Eukaryota; Metazoa; Chordata; Actinopteri; Perciformes; Sebastidae. The record is from RefSeq and is a predicted model, not a curated record. The transcript is spliced from 2 exons.
CUACGUCUGGUUUUCAAAAUAAGGUGGUAACAAAGGGAACUGUACAUACGAAAUACAUAUAUAGAAAGAAGAUUGAUUGGAUUGUAUUCACCAGAAGUAUAAAACAUUACAUUAUAAAUU